AGUCGAACGGAGAGCAUUCCUUCGGGGAUGCUUCUUAGUGGCGAACGGGUGAGUAACGCGUGAGCAACCUGCCUUUCAGUGGGGGACAACAGUUGGAAACGACUGCUAAUACCGCAUAAUGUUUCAUUUGGGCAUCCUUAUGAAACCAAAGAUUUAUUGCUGAAAGAUGGGCUCGCGUCUGAUUAGCUGGUUGGCGGGGUAACGGCCCACCAAGGCGACGAUCAGUAGCCGGACUGAGAGGUCGAUCGGCCACAUUGGGACUGAGAUACGGCCCAGACUCCUACGGGAGGCAGCAGUGGGGAAUAUUGGGCAAUGGGCGAAAGCCUGACCCAGCAACGCCGCGUGAGGGAAGAAGGUUCUCGGAUUGUAAACCUCUUUUACCAGGGAAGAAGAAAGUGACGGUACCUGGAGAAAAAGCCACGGCUAACUACGUGCCAGCAGCCGCGGUAAUACGUAGGUAGGCAAGCGUUGUCCGGAUUUACUGGGUGUAAAGGGCGUGUAGGCGGGAAGGCAGGUCAGAUGUGAAAUGUCGGGGCUCAAACCCCGGAACUGCAUUUGAAACCACUUUUACUUGAGUAUCGGAGAGGCAAGGCGGAAUUCCUAGUGUAGCGGUGAAAUGCAUAGAUAUUAGGAAGAACACCAGUGGCGAAGGCGGCCUGCUGGACGACAACUGACGCUGAGGCGCGAAAGCGUGGGGAGCAAACAGGAUUAGAUACCCUGGUAGUCCACGCCGUAAACGAUGGAUACUAGGUGUGGGGAGUAUUGAUCCUCUCCGCGCCGCCGUUAACACAGUAAGUAUCCCACCUGGGGAGUACGACCGCAAGGUUGAAACUCAAAGGAAUUGACGGGGGUCCGCACAAGCAGUGGAUUAUGUGGUUUAAUCCGACGCAACGCGAAGAACCUUACCAGGGCUUGACAUCCUACUAACGAAGGAGAGAUGCAUUAGGUGCCCUUCGGGAAAG
RNAcentral lists this ribosomal RNA (962 nucleotides) under uncultured bacterium. RNAcentral describes it as "bacterial SSU rRNA". It matches the Rfam family "Bacterial small subunit ribosomal RNA", at positions 60 to 1028 of the family's 1533-position model. The record is from RNAcentral.